CCGAUCCGGAGAUCAUCUCCAAGAUCCUUGCUGGCCUUGACAUGGAAUAUAGUCCUGUCGUCUCUGCUCUUGCUGCACGGGUGGAACCGAUCACGGUUCCGGAGUUUCAUAGUCAGCUCCUCAGUUUUGAUA
Molecule: small nucleolar RNA, 132 nt
Organism: Triticum dicoccoides
Lineage: Eukaryota; Viridiplantae; Streptophyta; Magnoliopsida; Poales; Poaceae
Product: small nucleolar RNA Z247
Exons: 1
Source: RefSeq, a predicted model, not a curated record